RNAcentral lists this non-coding RNA (1001 nucleotides) under Stegodyphus mimosarum. RNAcentral's name for it is "Eukaryotic small subunit ribosomal RNA". It matches the Rfam family "Eukaryotic small subunit ribosomal RNA", at positions 52 to 1042 of the family's 1831-position model. Lineage: Eukaryota; Metazoa; Arthropoda; Arachnida; Araneae; Eresidae. The record is from Rfam by way of RNAcentral.
UACAUCUUCAUUUAAAGCAAAGUUUUUAAAUAAUACACCAUAGUCUUAUUUUAAUGAAGGGAAUGAAUUUGACUUAUUUUGUUUCAUUAGCUCAGUUUAACCUUGAUUUAAGACAAUUUUUCGGGUCUGACUUGAAAUAAAUAAAACCAUGGUAAAUUAUCUCUCAUUUAGAAGUGGGUAAAAUUUACAAUAACUCUUUCUAGAAAUUAGUGUCCAUAUUAUGUGGUGACUCUGUGUAACUGUGGGCUGAUCACAUGGUUUCACCCUGGCAACAUAGCUUUCAAGUAUCUGGCCCUGUCAACUAUCAAUGAUAGGUUAUGAUGCACCUAAUAUGGUCAAGAUGGGUAACAUAAAAUAGGGAUUUAAUUCCAAAAAGUGAGUCUGAGAAAUGGUUAACACAUUCAAGGAAGGUAGCAGGUACGCCAAUUACCUAUUUUCAGAACAGGGAGGUAGCAACAAAAAAUAACAAUACAGGACUCUCUUGAGACCCUAUAAUUUGAAUAAGUACACUAUAUAUUCCUUUAAUGAGGAUCAACUGGAGAGCAAAUCUGGUGUCAACAGUCAUGGUAAUUUUAACUCCAAUUUCACUGUGGUUACAGAGUUUGUAGUUGGAUCUCAGGUCCAGAAGGGUUUGUAGUUGGAUCUCAGGUCCAGAAGGGUGGUUAUUGCCUGUUCUGAAUAGCCAGACGGUUUCAAUUAUUGAUCAACAAUUAUAUUGGUUGACCAACAAGUUUAAUUUAUAAAAAUUAUGUGCUCAAAGCAGGCAUGAUGUCUGAAAUGGUAAUGGUAUAAUGGAAUAAAUAGACCUCAGUUCUAUUUUGUUUUCCUUAGGAAUACACGACAAUGAUUAAGUGGAACAGAAGGAGCAUUUGCAUCAUGGCAUUAUGGGUGAAAUCUUGGAAUGUUGCAACUUGGAUACCGCAAAAGCAUUUAUGAUAUUUUUAAACAUAUAUCUCUAUCUAAAUAAGCACUGAAAAUGACACACUGAUCUCAAAUCAAGU